CCUACGGGAGGCAGCAGUGAGGAAUAUUGGUCAAUGGGCGCUAGCCUGAACCAGCCAAGUAGCGUGAAGGAUGACUGCCCUAUGGGUUGUAAACUUCUUUUAUAUGGGAAUAAAGUGCAGUAUGUAUACUGCUUUGCAUGUACCUUAUGAAUAAGGAUUGGCCAACUCCGGGCCAGCAGCCGCGGUAAUACGGAGGAUCCGAGCGUUAUCCGGAUUUAUUGGGUUUAAAGGGAGCGUAGGCGGGUUGUUAAGUCAGUUGUGAAAGUUUGCGGCUCAACCGUAAAAUUGCAGUUGAUACUGGCAGCCUUGAGUACGGUAGAGGUAUGCGGAAUGCGUGGUGUAGCGGUGAAAUGCAUAGAUAUCACGAAGAACGCCGAUUGCGAAGGCAGCCUGCUGGACUGUGACUGACGCUGAUGCUCGAAAGUGUGGGUAUCAAACAGGAUUAGAUACCCUUGUAGUC
Molecule: ribosomal RNA, 460 nt
Filed under: uncultured bacterium
Lineage: Bacteria
Description: partial 16S ribosomal RNA
Rfam family: Bacterial small subunit ribosomal RNA
Source: RNAcentral